This 30-nucleotide non-coding RNA is filed under the name Rattus norvegicus (Norway rat). The record is from RNAcentral. Lineage: Eukaryota; Metazoa; Chordata; Mammalia; Rodentia; Muridae.
UCCACACUACAUUCUGGAACAUAGGAACCA